GAUGAACGCUGGCGGCGUGCCUAAUACAUGCAAGUCGAGCGAACAGAUGAGGAGCUUGCUCCUCUGACGUUAGCGGCGGACGGGUGAGUAACACGUGGAUAACCUACCUAUAAGACUGGGAUAACUUCGGGAAACCGGAGCUAAUACCGGAUAAUAUAUUGAACCGCAUGGUUCAAUAGUGAAAGACGGUUUUGCUGUCACUUAUAGAUGGAUCCGCGCCGCAUUAGCUAGUUGGUAAGGUAACGGCUUACCAAGGCAACGAUGCGUAGCCGACCUGAGAGGGUGAUCGGCCACAUGGGAACUGAGACACGGUCCAGACUGCUACGGGAGGCAGCAGUAGGGAAUCUUCCGCAAUGGGCGAAAGCAUGACGGAGCAACGCCGCGUGAGUGAUGAAGGUCUUCGGAUCGUAAAACUCUGUUAUUAGGGAAGAACAAAUGUGUAAGUAACUAUGCACGUCUUGACGGUAACUAAUCAGAAAGCCACGGCUAACUACGUG
This 497-nucleotide ribosomal RNA is filed under the name uncultured bacterium. Its description in RNAcentral is "partial 16S ribosomal RNA". It matches the Rfam family "Bacterial small subunit ribosomal RNA", at positions 28 to 507 of the family's 1533-position model. The record is from RNAcentral.